UUUUAUGGCCACACCACUCUGAAUGUGCCCAAUCUCUUCUGAUCUCGGAAGCUAAGCAAGGUCGGGCCUGGCUAGUACUUGGAUGGGAGACCUCGGGCAUAUUUUCUAAAAGCCGUCUAUG
Ribosomal RNA from Gorilla gorilla gorilla (western lowland gorilla), 121 nucleotides. NCBI's taxonomy places the organism in Eukaryota, Metazoa, Chordata, Mammalia, Primates, Hominidae. The record is from Ensembl.